ACAUAUUUUAGAGCCUAAUUCAUUUAAAUAAAUAAUUAAAAUUACAUUCAAAUCCAAAUUCCUAAUUUUAAUUAAAAAAUUAAUCCUCAAAUAAAUUUAUUGUAACCCAUCUCUACUUCUAUAAGCUGCACCUUGAUCUGAUUUUUAACAUACUUAUAUAUUAAAAUUAUAUAUUUCAGAAAAUAAUUAACAACGACGAUAUACAAGCAAAAUAAAAGUUUUAUUAAUCGUGGAUUAUCGAUUACAGGACAGAUUCCCCUGAUUGGAAUAAAAAACCGCCAAAUUUUUUGAUUUUAAAGAACAUAACCAACAUUUAUCAGGUUUAAAUUUUUCCACGUCUAGAAUAAUGGGGUAUCUAAUCCCAGUCUAAUAUCCAGAUUUCUCAACCUCAUAAACAAAUAAUUAAUUUAAUAAAAAAUAAAAUUUCACCUAAUAUUUCCUAAAAUAAUAACAAAUUACUAUUAAUUAAAUAUAAAAAACCGAAAAAAAAAUAAUAGCAUUAUUUGUAUAACCGCA
RNAcentral lists this ribosomal RNA (516 nucleotides) under Dematochroma culminicola. Its description in RNAcentral is "partial 12S ribosomal RNA". The record is from RNAcentral. Lineage: Eukaryota; Metazoa; Arthropoda; Insecta; Coleoptera; Chrysomelidae.